This 410-nucleotide ribosomal RNA is filed under the name uncultured bacterium. RNAcentral's name for it is "bacterial SSU rRNA". It matches the Rfam family "Bacterial small subunit ribosomal RNA", at positions 355 to 775 of the family's 1533-position model. The record is from RNAcentral.
UGGGGAAUCUUGCACAAUGGGCGAAAGCCUGAUGCAGCGACGCCGCGUGAGGGAAGAAGGCCCUCGGGUUGUAAACCUCUUUCGGCAGGGAAGAAGCCGCAAGGUGACGGUACCUGCAGAAGAAGCCCCGGCUAACUACGUGCCAGCAGCCGCGGUAAGACGUAGGGGGCGAGCGUUGUCCGGAUUUAUUGGGCGUAAAGCGCGCGUAGGCGGCCCGUUAAGUCGGAUGUGAAAACCCGGGGCUCAACCCCGGGCCUGCAUUCGAUACUGGCGGGCUCGAGGCAGGCAGGGGAGAGCGGAAUUCCUGGUGUAGCGGUGAAAUGCGCAGAUAUCAGGAGGAACACCAGUGGCGAAGGCGGCUCUCUGGGCCUGUCCUGACGCUCAGGCGCGAAAGCUAGGGGAGUAAACAG